CUUUACUGCAGCUUCGCCUUGGCGUUAGCGACAACAUGUGUAGGAUAGGUGGGAGGCUAUGAAUCCGGGGCGCCAGUUCCGGGGGAGCCAACCUUGAAAUACCACCCUUGUUGUCGUUGACGUCUAACCGCGGUCCGUUAUCCGGAUCCGGGACAUGGCGUGGCGGGCAGUUUGACUGGGGCGGUCGCCUCCCAAAGUGUAACGGAGGCGCGCGAUGGUGGGCUCAGAGCGGUCGGAAAUCGCUCGUCGAGUGCAAUGGCAUAAGCCCGCCUGACUGUGAGACUGACAAGUCGAACAGAGACGAAAGUCGGCCAUAGUGAUCCGGUGGUUCUGUAUGGAAGGGCCAUCGCUCAACGGAUAAAAGGUA
Molecule: ribosomal RNA, 367 nt
Filed under: uncultured organism
Description: bacterial LSU rRNA
Rfam family: Bacterial large subunit ribosomal RNA
Source: RNAcentral